AGAGUUUGAUCAUGGCUCAGAACGAACGCUGGCGGCGUGCUUAACACAUGCAAGUCGAACGCGAAAGUUUUCUUCGGAAGACGAGUAGAGUGGCGCACGGGUGAGUAACGCGUAAGUUAUCUACCUCGGCAUCUGGAAUAACUCACCGAAAGGUGUGCUAAUACCGGAUACGUUGAGUAAUCAAGAAAGGUGGCCUCUGAAUAUGCUACUGUGCUGAGAUGAGCUUGCGUACCAUUAGCUAGUUGGUAGGGUAAUGGCCUACCAAGGCAACGAUGGUUAGCGGGUCUGAGAGGAUGAUCCGCCACACUGGAACUGAAACACGGACCAGACUCCUACGGGAGGCAGCAGUGAGGAAUAUUGCGCAAUGGGGGCAACCCUGACGCAGCGACGCCGCGUGGAUGAUGAAGGCCUUCGGGUCGUAAAAUCCUGUCAGAUGGAAAGAAGUGCAUGGUGGUUAAUACCUGCCAUGUUUGACGGUACCAUCGAAGGAAGCACCGGCUAACUCCGUGCCAGCAGCCGCGGUAAUACGGAGGGUGCAAGCGUUGUUCGGAAUUACUGGGCGUAAAGCGCGCGUAGGCGGUUUGUUAAGUCAGAUGUGAAAGCCCAUGGCUCAACCAUGGACGUGCAUUUGAAACUGGCAGACUUGAGUAUUGGAGGGGGUGGUGGAAUUCCCGGUGUAGAGGUGAAAUUCGUAGAUAUCGGGAGGAAUACCGGUGGCGAAGGCGACCACCUGGCCAAAUACUGACGCUGAGGUGCGAAAGCGUGGGGAGCAAACAGGAUUAGAUACCCUGGUAGUCCACGCCGUAAACGAUGAGAACUAGGUGUUGGGACGGUUAAUCGUCUCAUUGCCGCAGCUAACGCAUUAAGUUCUCCGCCUGGGGAGUACGGUCGCAAGAUUAAAACUCAAAUGAAUUGACGG
RNAcentral lists this ribosomal RNA (919 nucleotides) under uncultured bacterium. RNAcentral describes it as "SSU rRNA". It matches the Rfam family "Bacterial small subunit ribosomal RNA", at positions 8 to 916 of the family's 1533-position model. The record is from RNAcentral.